CGCUGGCGGCAUGCCUAAUACAUGCAAGUCGAGCGAAUGAUGAAGAAGCUUGCUUCUUCUGAUUAGCGGCGGACGGGUGAGUAACACGUGGGCAACCUACCCUAUAGAUUGGGAUAACACAGGGAAACCUGUGCUAAUACCGAAUAAUACAUUUUCUUUCAUGAGAAGAUGUUGAAAGAUGGUUUCGGCUAUCACUAUAGGAUGGGCCCGCGGCGCAUUAGCUAGUUGGUGAGGUAAUGGCUCACCAAGGCAACGAUGCGUAGCCGACCUGAGAGGGUGAUCGGCCACACUGGGACUGAGACACGGCCCAGACUCCUACGGGAGGCAGCAGUAGGGAAUCUUCCACAAUGGGCGAAAGCCUGAUGGAGCAAUGCCGCGUGAGUGAUGAAGGAUUUCGGUUCGUAAAACUCUGUUGUAAGGGAAGAACAAGUAGCGUAGUAACUGGUGUUACCUUGACGGUACCUUAUUAGAAAGCCACGGCUAACUACGUGCCAGCCGCAGC
RNAcentral lists this ribosomal RNA (502 nucleotides) under uncultured bacterium. Its description in RNAcentral is "bacterial SSU rRNA". It matches the Rfam family "Bacterial small subunit ribosomal RNA", at positions 34 to 518 of the family's 1533-position model. The record is from RNAcentral.